CAGCGAAUGCAACUCCAGGAGGAAGCCGCUGCCGGAGCCCAGAGCAAACUGUGCCCACGUGACCGCGGCCGCUCACGUGACGCCGCAGCAGAUCACGCAGGGCUACGCUCACGUGAGUGGGCGUGGUCACUCGGUAGGCCGGGCCGGAGGGGCUUAGAAGGUAAUAGCAGCGUGAGUUCUUCACUCGCAACUUUCUAGGCGGGGGGCCUCUACCCUUCCUCCGCAGACCGCGCUGUUCUCUCGUUUCCUGCCUUGCUCCCACUGCCGACUCCACGCCGCUCCUCCGGAGAAAGUGCGGGCCUCCCCUCCGGCCCGACGCCAGGCUCCUCCUGCGCGAUCCCACCUGCGCGAAGGAGGCGAGAACGCGCGCAGCGCUCCUCUCAGCAUUACUCUCCGCAGCUUCUUUGGCUGCUCUUAAUAACACACCUUGAUUGAGCACCUUAUGAUGAGUCAAGUUACGUUUCAGCAACCAUGACCUGAGAAUCUAUGUCUUUCACACAUUUUGCCUGGUACCUUGCCUUUGACUGUCACUGGUGUGGACCAAGCUUUUCACCUCUCAGCUCUGGGACUCAGCCUAGGUGUACAGAAGUUCUGAGGAACCUCCAAGAACAAAUCCCAUUUCCAGGCCACCAGGUCUUCCAGCUGUUUACUUUACUCCAGGUGGCCCUACUGCUGCCCCUCGUUUGCUGGCUCAGGCCUCCCCUUCUGCCUGGACAGCCUGCCCCUUGAUGUUCUCCCAACCUGCCGACUCUUCUAAACCCACCACAGACCCAGCCUGUCUUGAAUGGUUUCCUACCUUAAAGAUUCACAAACUGCUUCAUCACAUUCCAAAGAACACCAGCCUCUAUGUAUACAGAUGGUGUAGGAGACUGUCCUAUACGUAUUACUCAGCAAAGCAUCUCCCUCCAGGGGUCUCAGGAGAGACACUGUGGACCACCGACACAGCAUGGAAAAUGUGGAGGUUUGCAGGGUGAACCCAAACAGAAGUGAAGAGGUCACUUGGAGCAUACAAGAUCGAACCCAAAGAACCAGGGGAUCUUCCCAGUGCAGGGAUCAAGCCUGGAGCUGUGUCUGGAGCUGUGACAGCCAUUCGAUAAUCAUGGAGCUACAGGUGAGUCUAUGGACAAAAAGCCAAACAGCUGAGGAGAGCUGUGCAGAAGGAUGGAGAAAGGCUGAAUCCUUCAAACCAUCAGGGAGACACCCGACUCCACACCACUGCAGAGUCCACAACGUUGAUGAGUUUUCCCACAGUUGAAAGCUGCCCAGCACCCACUGGGGGUGAAGCACUGAAAUAAAAUAAGGAAAAUUUAGUCUUUAUAAAACCUGGAAGUGAUAACUUCUCAAGAAACCUACCAUGUAACCCCUUGGAGAAGAUGCUUAGGUUCUAAGAAGAUAAUUAUUUGUGUUAGGCUGCCUCUGAAGGCAAGAAACGGAAACUCCAGCUUCAGUGAACAUAAGAAAUGAGCUCCAGGAUCAGCAGAUUUGGGUGCUCAACGUCAUCAGGAACCCGGGCUCCUCAUCUCUCCUCUGCUCAGCCAUUCUUCAGAUGGGCUUCAUCGCGAGACUGUUGGCAAGAUAGGGGCGCACUUACAUGGGGCACACCCAGACACAAUAUACAUGCUCUGCCCGUCUUCCCAUUGUCCCUCAGACCUGGCGUUCAGUUGUCUUCUCCUUGUCCUCUCCCUCCAGCUGCAUCUGCUCGCACUUCUUCACACAUCCAGUGGACUCUGGCCUCGGGGCCUCUGCACUUGCGGUCCCCUCGACCUACAGUGUCCACCUGGCUCCCUCAUCUCUCCUUCAGGUCCUUACUUAAAUAUUACUUUCUCAGUGAGGUCUGCUUUGACUAUGCUAUUUUAAAUUAUAACCAACUCCCCAUCCUCUUUCAGGUUUACUUUUUCUCCACAGCGUGUAACUGCACGCAACAAAGGGUUCAUUCCCUUGCCUCUUGGUCUCCGCCUGCCUAGGUGUGCUCCAGGAGCAUGGAGACUUACAGCUUGCCCCCUCCUCACUUCCCUCAGGCCUAGCAGGAUGAGUGUUCCAUGAAUACCUUGGAGAAAAGACGGGCCGAGACGGACAACAUCCAAACGAAGAAGUCGGGGAGGAAAGAUGUUUUCAAAGAUGGCGUCCCCAUGUCGCGCACCCCCACCCAAGCCUUCCCCCAUGCAUAUCUUAUCCAGAUUCUUUUUAUGUGGGGCUUCAACCAGUAACCAGCAAGGAGAAGGGACUUUCUUCGGCUCCUCGAACUACAGCCCAAUCCAUGCCUCACUUCGCCGGACUCUGGUUUCCACGCCCAUCUGCGCUCCACCACGGUUAUCAACGUUUCCAAGUCCAGUGGGGCCUCUAGGUUCUUAUCAGCUUACCACCGCAGCCCCCUCUCCAGCCCCAAUUCUCUGGGUAUCUGGCUCACUUCAAAGUCAUUGUACUAUAAGGACCCCCAUCAAUGCCAGCGUCACGUCCUGUUCUCCACCCGUUUCCAAUUUCUUCUUCUGGGAAAUAAGCUCCAAGCCUUGAACAACUGAAGCAGGUUUGCUGUGAAACCCUGAGGGCUUCGAAAUCACACUAACCGCAGCCAGAAACCAGGUCCCCGAGCUAGGUUGUGGGCGCGGGGUGGCGCCGACCUGGCCGCGCUCCCUGGAGAGAGAAGUCUCCACUGCCCCUUGUCCCCCUGCCC
Long non-coding RNA from Bos taurus (domestic cattle), 2671 nucleotides. NCBI's taxonomy places the organism in Eukaryota, Metazoa, Chordata, Mammalia, Artiodactyla, Bovidae. The record is from Ensembl.